Molecule: ribosomal RNA, 305 nt
Filed under: uncultured bacterium
Lineage: Bacteria
Description: bacterial SSU rRNA
Rfam family: Bacterial small subunit ribosomal RNA
Source: RNAcentral
AGGGCCCUACGGGGCGCAGCAGUGGGGGAUAUUGCACAAUGGGGGAAACCCUGAUGCAGCGACGCCGCGUGAGUGAAGAAGUAUUUCGGUAUGUAAAGCUCUAUCAGCAGGGAAGAAAAUGACAGUACCUGAGUAAGAAGCCCCGGCUAACUACGUGCCAGCAGCCGCGGUAAUACGUAGGGGGCAAGCGUUAUCCGGAUUUACUGGGUGUAAAGGGAGCGUAGACGGUGAGACAAGUCUGAAGUGAAAGCCUGGGGCUCAACCCCGGGACUGCUUUGGAAACUGCCUGACUGGAGUGCUGGAGA